This 1011-nucleotide long non-coding RNA is filed under the name Fukomys damarensis (Damara mole-rat). Its description in RNAcentral is "lncRNA (ENSFDAG00000026559.1)". Lineage: Eukaryota; Metazoa; Chordata; Mammalia; Rodentia; Bathyergidae. The record is from RNAcentral.
ACAGCGUCUUCUGGUAUCCCAAGGCAACGACGGCAACUCCAGUGAGUCAAGGCGCAGAGGCGCGAAUGCACUGCCCCAGGAUUUUUUUCUUGAGCUUUAUAUUUGCGGUGGUGGAGAUUGAACCCAGGGCCUCUUUCGUUUUAGAGACGCGACCUACCAUUAAACUACACUCCUGGCUCUGCUACUCAAGUUUAGUCUCCAUAGUGCUCAGUUUUGUUGCCUGAACUUUCCUGCUAUGGUAGUCUGCGGGCUUUUUACUAGUCGUGAUAUGGAAUUAUUUAUAUAUGUUCCCUUAAUUGCCAGAAUCAUGACUUUUUUAUUUUGUUGGACUUGACACCGAAUGUGAGUCAUUCCUGUCCUCUCCCACAUGCGGUGUUGUCACAGGAUCAGAACUUCAUUUCUGUGAUUACAACUGUUAACUUGAAAGCAGCCCUCAGUUAUUUCUUACUUGAAUAUUGCUUUGCAAAUGGAUUCCUUGCUGGUGUCUUUGGUGUCAUCUCCCAGCAUUUCUUCUGGCCCAGCAACUAGACAAAUUAACUGUUUCGAAGAGAUCUGAAGCACCACUGUGGGCAAAUGUGGCCAGCAACUGCUCUGAGGAAUUGUCAACUUCUUUCCCAGGUCUGGCCCAACCUUUAAGCACUUUCUUCAACACUGAACAUAACCACCGCAAGGCUCUUCACUCCUGCUCAAGAGUUUGCCAUCCCCAGACAUCCUGCCAGAAGACCAAGCGCAUUUUCCCAUGCACUGAGUGUGGAGAGAUGUGUUCCCGCCUCCUUCCCUUGGCCUCCACUCCAUCUCCAUCUCGCCAAUGUACUGUAUUUCACUUCAGUGUCUUCUCACACUGCCUUCAGAUGAUUAGAGCACAUCACAUCUCCUUCAGCUUCACUGCUCCUCUGUUUAUCAAAAACCUUUGUACAAAAUUCUGUUAAAGGCCUUCAGGAAGCCUCAGGAGAUGUCUUUGCCUAUUUGCCCUUUGUCUGGUAACCUGUGCUGUAUGAGAAAUUACUCCAA